Molecule: long non-coding RNA, 785 nt
Filed under: Citrus x clementina
Lineage: Eukaryota; Viridiplantae; Streptophyta; Magnoliopsida; Sapindales; Rutaceae
Description: Citrus clementina (C. clementina) long non-coding RNA (CCLE_LNC001477)
Source: RNAcentral
UGCAAUUAGUAUUAUUAAAUAGAAACAAAAUUAAAAAAAUCAAUCUUGAUCAUACAUAUAUAAAAAUUACGCAUGUGUCAAAAGAUUGUUCAAAAUUCAAAUAAGUUCAAAUCAUGAGGAAUUCAAUUCCUUUAAGUCUAUCUAUCGUUUUUAAAUUUUAAUUGUUUCAUUUUUGUUUAAUUAAAAUAAAAUUGAAAAAAAUAAAACAAAUGAGUUGAAAGUUAAAAUUCUCUGGUGGUCGGGGUACUUCUUUAGAUGGUUGGGCUUCUGGGACGUUGGAAUCACAUGAUUUCAGGAUACAUGCUUCCAAUCUCGUACCAAAUGUUAGUCUUCAUAAGUAUUUCCAUAUAAUGCCUAAUAUGGUAAAAUUUGGGCCCUCUUUAAUUUUGUCUCUAUAUGGAAUUUGACUGAAUUAUUUUUCUAUGAAUUACAGGAGCAGUAACAUCGAUUAUGAAAAAUGAAAAAAUAAGGGAAAUUUGACUUAAAGUAAAAAGGAAAUGUUGACCCCAAAAGACGGAUCCUAAAUCAAACGAAAUCAUCUCCAAUUGUGUAGGAUUCAACCACGUCAAUCUCAUGAUUUCACUUCAAUAAAUAAUAAUAUUGUUCUCGUCUAAUACUAUCAGCAUUCCAAACUCUUUUGCAUUUUCUAAGUGCCUGUUUGGUAUGGCUUAUUUAAGAGCCAUAAGUGCUUAUUUAAUCGUAUAAGCACUUUUUAAAAUUUUUUAUGGUGUUUGGUUAUUUUUUUAAUAGAGCUUUUUUAGCUUAAAUAAGCUAAUUUACCUCUA